AGAAAGAAGCUGAUGGAAAAAAGAAAAUAAGGUGGCGAAGGAAUGAGUCAACGUCCUUCAGAAAGACCUGUGAGAUAAAUGAAUAUUGGAAAAGUUGCAGGUGGGUGGGAGAGCUGAAGCGGACCACCGUAAUGGGCACUGAAGACAGAGGCCAGAUAACAGUUGGCUGCUGCCAGUGCAGUAACCUGGACUGCGCCAAUGCAGGAGGGAGGAGAGGGGUAGAGCUAGUUAAACACAUUAGGCCAGGAAUCCAUUUUAGUGAUGUAUUGAUUCAUCUCAGAGGGACGUGGAAGCCGUCGAGAGUCACCGAGGUCUUUUAUCCUUGUGCUUACAACAUCAAGAUGUUUCUCUCUCUGGGAAACGGGUAAAGAGACUUCUCAAACAGCUUCCUAAUUUGUCCUGAACAGUCACUAUGAAGACUACAGUGGUUUUCUAUAUAGUGGGCUGAUGCCUCUCAAGCAUGGUUUAGCAAGAGAAUGCACAGACGUUUCCAGUGACAGUCAUUUAAAGCUCAUGGAGCGGUCGAGUGUGCGCUUCGACCUGUGUGCCCUCACUCGUCACCAAGCCUUUUCGAUUAAGUGAGUUAAAAUGCUGCAUCUAGUUGAAGUCAAU
Cyprinus carpio carpio is the source of this 612-nucleotide long non-coding RNA. NCBI's taxonomy places the organism in Eukaryota, Metazoa, Chordata, Actinopteri, Cypriniformes, Cyprinidae. The record is from Ensembl.